ACAUGAUCCACAUUUGGUCCAAAUUCUUUUUACCAUUUUCAAAAUCUUUACCAUUGUGAGAAAGAGCGAAAUCACAUCUCCAUAAAUCCAUAAAUUACUGAAAUAAGAUAAAUUUAGAGCAUUUUUUUUAUAUUCUGAAGAGAAUAUCCAAAACGAUAUCCAGAAAUCGUUUUGGAUCCAGGAAUUUUGUGCGUGCUGUGGCAGGAAUUUUUAGCUUUGGCAGAGGUGUGUAGGGUCAGACUUCUCGUCAUUUAUUUCUCUGAAAAAUGCCAGACCCUGCUGCUUUGAACGUCAUUAUACUGUGCAGGCUUUACUUUACAUUUAUUCAGCAGCAGUAAAUCUCAGCGGCUAUAACACUGCCUUCUGCUCUUUGUUGUUCCUGCAGCUCAGAAAGGAGCUGCCGAGCGACAUCUAUUUACACAUAGUAUCUGUGUUUGAACUGUCCAGGUAGGAGAUGAUUUACAUUUACAACUCAGCCAUUACUCGGUGUAUUUCGCAAUAAAAUUCAUUUGAAUCUCACUGUGUGUCACACCAAUUAAAUCUUGUUUUAUAGUACAUGUCAGAGGAGGGGAACAAAUGGGCCGUAAGGUUACUGAGUUUCUUUGAUUUUCUUAUUUUCAGAUCCAAUACAGAAGACCUCGUAAAAACACCAUAUGAAGACCAGCUGAUGCGGUUCGGUCCCUCCAGUAGCAACAGUUUUCGCUGCCACGUAUACGUGAAUGUCAUCCCUGCCUUGGAUGUGGCAUAUGUGCAGUCUCUAAUAGCCACGAGGCUUAAAAAUCCCUACAACGACUCCAGUGGUUUGCUACAGCUGCAAGCAGAUGCAGAAAACAUACACACCACGCCUGUCGAUGGUUUCUUAGUUGACACCAGCAGCCCCAGUACGAUGACACAGCCUUCUCCUGUGACAAAUAUUACCACUACGACCACAAUACCAUCCUCCACGUCCUUUUCUACCACCGACUUUAGACCCCCAACCACGAGCAUCAUCACAAGUACAAGUACUACUACCGUGGCCACGGCCAUGACCAUUGCCACACACCCUGAAAAUGUUUCCGGUCAGUUUCCCAACUGCAUGUACAUCACGGUUCAUCUGUCAUCGUAAAUGUCUUGGUGAAAACUUUCUGAUCCGUCUCAAUUUCCUUUGCAGAACUGUAUUUUCAGGUUAAGGUGAACGUGUCCAUAACAGGCGGUUGUGACACAGAACAGAUCCUUAGGUCCUGGGUACGUCUUACAGAACACCUAAGCUCUUAUUUUAAGAUACAGGAAACUAUUUUUCCUUCACUUGGUUAAAUAUAGGGGUGAAAAAUCCUGACAGCAUAAGUAAUGCAGUAAUAUGAAUGCUAACAUCCUCUUCACAGCUCAACAAUAGCCUACCAAACAACUUCAUGACAGUGCUUGAAUUUCAGCUAGUCCCCAAAGCUCAAAGGUAGAGUACCACACAUCAACUCACCCAUUUCCAGAAAUAUGUCACAUUCUGAUGAACGCAAAGGUCUUUCAAUUUGAACAACUUAAGUUACUGAUCUCACUUCCAGAAAUCAUCCUAAGCUGCAGUCAGAAUACCCUACCAGAGUAAGUAAGCAUAAAAAAGGUGUCAGUGCCUUCUUAAACCAAAAGGCUGUUUCUCCCCUGAAAGCUUCAUCUUCAUCUUUUUUACUCUUUCCCAGGUAUUAGCAUACACAGAUCCGAGGUAAGCUUCGUGUGUCUCCAUACAAUUUUAUUUAGAACUGAUUACAAUAAACAAAAAAAUUGAAAUUCUGCCUGGAGGAGGAGGAAACUGGCUGCUACUUUGUUCAUUUUUAUUUGCCUUUACGCAGGUAAUAUUAAAAAAGUAUAACAUCAUGAUGUUAUAUUUGCUAUGUACAUGAGCCCAUUGUCAUUCUGCAAACCAUAUUUAACUCUGUUACUUCCAGAAGAGAGAGCUGUAUUUUCCAGGUCCAAGUCAUGAUGCAGUCAGACAUAGAGGAAAUCGAAAACCUGAUACAAUACAUACUGCAAAAACCUUAUGAAAAUGAGUCCAUCUCCAUACGCACUGAGGACAUAGAGAUAAGCCAGAUACGUGAGUUCAAAAAGGGGGGGGGGACCCAACCCUGAAAAUCUUCUCAUUUUGAUCUCUUUCUCAAACAUCUCAUUGUUGCAGUGUCAUUUAAGUGCAAUGCAGAAAUCCGCCAAACCCUGAAAGGGCUGUUCGUGUGGCCUGAAACUUCAGGAGGAGAAACUGCGAAUCAAACGUGCCCAAAGAACCCUGACCACUACGCCACUCGACACUGGUGAGAGCUCAGACUCUUAAUCAUUUUUCAUUUGUAGUCCAAGUGAAACAUCUCACAAAAUAUGAGAUUA
Long non-coding RNA from Oreochromis niloticus (Nile tilapia), 2340 nucleotides. NCBI's taxonomy places the organism in Eukaryota, Metazoa, Chordata, Actinopteri, Cichliformes, Cichlidae. The record is from Ensembl.